RNAcentral lists this ribosomal RNA (622 nucleotides) under Tor sinensis. RNAcentral describes it as "partial 16S ribosomal RNA". It matches the Rfam family "Bacterial large subunit ribosomal RNA", at positions 1796 to 2620 of the family's 2925-position model. The record is from RNAcentral. Lineage: Eukaryota; Metazoa; Chordata; Actinopteri; Cypriniformes; Cyprinidae.
UCGCCUGUUUAUCAAAAACAUCGCCUCCUGCAGUACAACCAAGUAUAGGAGGUCCAGCCUGCCCGGUGACCACAAGUUUAACGGCCGCGGUAUUUUGACCGUGCAAAGGUAGCGCAAUCACUUGUCUUUUAAAUAGAGACCCGUAUGAAUGGCUAAACGAGGGCUUAACUGUCUCCCUUUUCAAGUCAGUGAAAUUGAUCUACCCGUGCAGAAGCGGGUAUAACAAUACAAGACGAGAAGACCCUUUGGAGCUUAAGGUACAAAACUCAACCACACCAAGCAACUUAAUAAAAAGUAAAAACUUUGUGAAACAUGAGGUUUUACCUUCGGUUGGGGCGACCGCGGAGGAAAAUAAAGCCUCCAAGUGGACCGGGACAAACUCCUAAAACCAAGAGAAACAUCUCUAAGCCACAGAACAUCUGACCAAACAUGAUCCGGCCACCAGGACCGAUCAACGAACCAAGUUACCCCAGGGAUAACAGCGCAAUCCUCUCCCAGAGUCCAUAUCGACGAGGGGGUUUACGACCUCGAUGUUGGAUCAGGACAUCCUAAUGGUGCAGCCGCUAUUAAGGGUUCGUUUGUUCAACGAUUAAAGUCCUACGUGAUCUGAGUUCAGACCGGA